AUGGCAAAGAUGAACAAAGCCACCAGAAUCGCCUUGGUCACUGGAGAGAUAAGGGACUGCAUGUCACCCGGGACCGCCGCAGCCGGAGGAGAAGGCAAGGAUCCAGGACAACUCCAGGGGACUCAUGAGAAACAAGGAUAUCCACCACUAGAGAAGGAGCAGAGAGACUCCCAAUGCAGAGUGGAACAUAUCAUUCUUCACUUGAUUUGCUACAUGAAUUUUUCUUUAAUGAAAAAAGAGCCUGGAAAAUGGUGGGGAAAGUAUGAAUGA
This 270-nucleotide long non-coding RNA is filed under the name Monodelphis domestica (gray short-tailed opossum). Its description in RNAcentral is "lncRNA (ENSMODG00000041335.1)". Lineage: Eukaryota; Metazoa; Chordata; Mammalia; Didelphimorphia; Didelphidae. The record is from RNAcentral.